GGGGGCGACCUGGUUUCGACGUGGUCGAUCCAUCCGGAUGAGCUGCAAGCCGAGGUCGCCGGUAGGCCUCGUUAAUCCACCGGCACCAAUAAAUGCGAAUCAGCAUGAUCUCGCAAUCGCUGCCUAAGGCAACUUAGAUCCAGCGACGUCCCGCCGGAUAUGCCUGUGAUCCGGCGCGACGCUAACGAACAGGCUGGCGCCGAAGAAAUGCCAAUCGUCGGAGGCGCGAGAUUUAAGGAUGGCUGGCUCGUCGGCAGGGCGGUGGCACUCCGGCCGGCGAGCGAGAUCUAAGUGCCACCUACGCUUGUAGAUGCUUAGCCGGUGCGGCUACGGACGCGGGUUCGAUUCCCGCCGCCUCCACUC
This 363-nucleotide transfer-messenger RNA is filed under the name Actinomycetota bacterium. It matches the Rfam family "transfer-messenger RNA". From Rfam's summary of the family: Bacterial tmRNA, also known as 10Sa RNA or SsrA, is named for its dual tRNA and mRNA-like properties. The record is from RNAcentral. Lineage: Bacteria; Bacillati; Actinomycetota.